CCCUCGCGUUUGUCUGACCAUAAGGUUGGCCGAGAGAUGCCUUUGAUCGUUGUGCAGUGUUUGAGAUUGUGGCUACCAUGCGCGUCGUGAUUUUUGUUUUUAUUAACGGUUUGUGGUUUUAACCGAUUCCUUAGAGUUAUGCAUUCUGAGUGUCGCACUUUGGAAUUUGUAGAAAUUUAUCUGUUCAUAGUGGCUGAAUGAGAAUUUAAUUCUGACUCAAUCUUGGCUAAGAUUCCUACAGGUAAUGGAUCUUGUAAUAGUGGUGACAGUACAGUGGUAUUUGCAAUGAGUGAGCGUUGAAAUAGUGGCUGUAUUCUCUUGAACGAGGCUUACAGCACUGUGCAAUUCCCUUGCCGUUGGCUCUGCCUCCUUACACUGGCAGCUUUUAUCUUUCAUUAGGGAUGAUUAUUUAUUUAUAUCCCUCGAGUGUUGUUACUAGAUUUUUGUCCUUGUAGAAAACUUCCUUUUAAAACUUGCGAAUCGCAAUUCAUCUCCAUCGAUCCUAGCGAUUGGCAACUCACUGAACUUUCUUCUGCACAGAUUCCUAAUGCUAUUGCUGAGGCUCAGAAGGCCUGUGAAGAGGAUCCUACUUCUGCCCCAUGCGCCGUGGCAUGGGACGAGGUGGAGGAGUUAACAGCUGAGGCUGCCCACCAGCGCGACCGAGAGAAAACCUCAGGCGACCCCCUUGAGAAAUACUGCGCAGACAACCCCGAAUCUGAUGAGUGCCGAACAUAUGAGGAUUAGAAUACAGGAAUGUGGUUGCUACUGGUAUUUUACAUGCAACACUGCGCUGCGUUAAUUUGGAAUG
This 808-nucleotide long non-coding RNA is filed under the name Physcomitrium patens. RNAcentral describes it as "long non-coding RNA (PPAT_LNC002029)". The record is from RNAcentral. Lineage: Eukaryota; Viridiplantae; Streptophyta; Bryopsida; Funariales; Funariaceae.